UCAGUUCGGAUCGAAGUCUGCAACCCGACUUCGUGAAGCUGGAUUCGCUAGUAAUCGCGCAUCAGCCAUGGCGCGGUGAAUACGUUCCCGGGCCUUGUACACACCGCCCGUCAAGCCAUGAAAGCCGGGGGUACCUGAAGUACGUAACCGCAAGGAUCGUCCUAGGGUAAAACUGGUAAUUGGGGCUAAGUCGUAACAAGGUAGC
Molecule: ribosomal RNA, 205 nt
Filed under: uncultured bacterium
Lineage: Bacteria
Description: partial 16S ribosomal RNA
Rfam family: Bacterial small subunit ribosomal RNA
Source: RNAcentral